This 630-nucleotide small RNA is filed under the name Pan troglodytes (chimpanzee). Its description in RNAcentral is "processed transcript". Lineage: Eukaryota; Metazoa; Chordata; Mammalia; Primates; Hominidae. The record is from RNAcentral.
AGCCUUGAAUCAGUGGUGUUAUGGAUGUCAACAACCCAGUGUCCACUGGGGUGUCUCAAUGGAGCGGGAAGUUGGCGAUUACAGGGCAGUAAAUUCAGGCAUCUAUAAAAGAAUGAGACCUGAUCAGAAAUUUAAUGAACAUAUUAAGGAUGAUAAAGGUGAAGACUUUCAGAAACGUUAUAUCCUCAAGAGAGAUAACUCUAGCUUUGACAAAGAUGAUAACCAGAUGAGAAUACGUUUGAAAGAUGACAGAAGAAGCAAAUCUAUAGAAGAAAGAGAAGAAGAGUACCAGAGAGCCAGAGACCGAAUAUUUUCCCAAGAUUCCCUGUGUUCCCAAGAGAAUUACAUUAUUGACAAAAGACUCCAAGACGAGGAUGCCAGUAGUACCCAGCAGAGGCGCCAGAUAUUUAGAGUUAAUAAAGAUGCUUCAGGGAGAUCUACAAAUAGCCAUCAAAGCAGCACUGAGAAUGAGUUGAAGUACUCAGAACCACGACCCUGGAGCAGCACAGAUUCAGACAGCUCUCUUCGAAACCUGAAACCUGCUGUAACCAAAGCCAGCAGCUUCAGUGGAAUCUCAGUCCUGACAAGAGGUGAUAGUUCUGGAAGCAGCAAAAGCAUAGGCAGGCUUUC